AAUGAACGCUGGCGGCGUGCUUAACACAUGCAAGUCGAACGAGAAAGGGGAGCUUCGGUUCCCUGAGUAAAGUGGCGCACGGGUGAGUAACGCGUGGGUAAUCUACCCUUGAGUUUGGGAUAACGCCUCGAAAGAGACGCUAAUACCGGAUAAGACCACAGGUGCUUCGGCACAAGGGGUCAAAGGUGCUGCAAGGCACUGCUUGAGGAUGAGCCUGCGUGACAUUAGAUUGAUGGUAGGGUAACGGCCUACCAUAUUGUCUACGAUGUCUAGCUGGUCUGAGAGGAUGAUCAGCCACACUGGGACUGGAACACGGCCCAGACUCCUACGGGAGGCAGCAGUGAGGAAUUUUGCGCAAUGGGGGAAACCCUGACGCAGCAACGCCGCGUGAGUGAUGAAGGCCUUUUGGUUGUAAAGCUCUGUCGCCUGGAAAGAAACCACAGAUCAGGAAAUGGGUUUGUGUUGACGGUACCAGGAAAGGAAGGACCGGCUAACUCCGUGCCAGCAGCCGCAGUAACAC
RNAcentral lists this ribosomal RNA (520 nucleotides) under uncultured bacterium. RNAcentral describes it as "bacterial SSU rRNA". It matches the Rfam family "Bacterial small subunit ribosomal RNA", at positions 29 to 526 of the family's 1533-position model. The record is from RNAcentral.